CAACGACGAUGAUGAUGAUGAUGAUGAUGACAAUAGUAAUAAUUUUUCAAUAUAUUGAUUUCAAAACACAGCAACAGAUUUUAAUGAAUAAUAUUAUAUAAUAGUUGAGUUUUGAACAAUUAGGAAGAAGGGGUAGGAGAAAUUAUUGAAUAGUAAUCUUUUCACAAAUGGACAAAGAAAUUAUUUUAUCAAGAAAAAAUAAUCAAUGCUUAAUACAUUCCUCUCUAUCAUUUUUGUUCUUUUUAUCUUAUUAUUUCCAAUAAAAAUAUAAAUCUGAGAGAGGGCUUUGUUUCAAUGUUGCCUUGAGUUGCACGAAUGGAGUGGGUAAAGAAAGUAAAUAAAAGAAAGUAUAAUAGAAUAAUGGGGUGGUGGAUAGGACCCAAAAUUGAUAAUGAUAAUAUUAGCUGCUAAACAAACAAGGUAGAAGAGGGGAGAUGUAAGGGAGAGGAGGAGAGGCAGAAGGGAAGAAGUCAGUUUGAACACCUACUUUGAACUUGAACUUAAUCUGAAAGCUGGGGUCAAAACAGGAAUAAUAGCAGUAUCUUAUUAAGAAAAGCAAUAAUAUAAGGGAUGGAGGAAAAGGAAGGGGGUGGAAAGAAGGAGCAGGAGUGAAACAAAGUAGAUUGAAGUUUUAUUCUAGAUUGAAUCCCCAUUUGGAAAGUAAUAUUGAAAUGUGGAGGUGAAUGGCAUGGGAGGGUUUCUAAUAGUUUUAGAAAUAAGUAAAUAGAAUUAUGUUUUAGCAGAGCAUAGUUUUCUUUAUUCCUUUUGUUUGUCUCUCCCUAACUGGAUUUGUUGAGAAGUUCAACAAUAGCUUGGAAAUGAGGCUCCCAGUUUUCUUCGCACAUCAGCUUGGCAGUUGAAGGCAGGAAUCGACUGCAAGUCAAACCCCACCUUCCUAUCCCACACCCCACCUCGUUUCACAAAGACUUGCAGAAAAACUCACUCAGCUAUUUACAAAUACAGUAACACCAUACAUACAUAUAUAUCCAUGUAAGUCUACUUACACACACACUCGCACACACAGAUUGAGAAAUACUUGCAGAAAUGCACAACACCUUGCUACAGUAGCAGCCUCCCACUGGCCGACACACAACUCCUCUCAAGCAUCAACACACAGUCACUCUCACACACUACUGCUGCAGCAGUUACAUUGGAAAUCUACACCAGGAUACACUUCUCCAGUCACAGCCAGCAACAAAGGAUUAAAACAAUGCAGGUUUAUUUUACCGUUGCAUCUGAAGUCUUCAUACUACAAAGUGGAAUAUGUUGAUGAAAAUAUGGUUUUCAUUUUCAUUUCUACAUGUUUCUUUGUGUGUGGACCUUAUUUAUCAUGUGAAAGAAGAAAGAAGUCCAGCUACAUACAUCGGCGACAUUGCAGCUGACUCUCAGCUACUGGGCAGUGUUUUACCUGGAGACAGCAGGCUGAUAGCAUUCAGCCUGUUGCAAAGAGUAGGUUCUCAACUGUUCAAUGUCACCAAAUCAGGAAAACUGUACACUGCUCAGAAACUGGAUGCAGAGACUUUGUGUACAUAUAAUAAAGAAUGUUUUAAAAUUGUCAAGGCUGCUGUCCGAAAAGCCAAGACUUUUAUGAGAAUUCUAAAAAUAAAAGUAAUAAUAGAAGAUGCCAAUGAUCAUCGGCCUGAGUUUCCUGGUAAAAGUAUUAACAUUGAAUUCUCAGAAAAUGAUCGCAAAGGAGCAAGAAAAUCGAUCCCUAAUGCCAUAGACAGAGAUGUAGGAAUUCUCAAUUCACAAAUUCAUUACCAACUUGAAAAGCUUCAAGAGGAACCAUUUUCAUUGUUUGUUUCGAAAAGAGCAGAUGGCAUAUCCACUCUUGAAAUUGUUUUAGAUCAGACACUAGACAGAGAAGUAAAAAGUAACUACCGCAUUCAACUUAUUGCUAGUGAUGGGGGUUCACCUACUCAAAGAAGUUCCUUGGUGGUUGAAAUUUCUAUCAAGGAUGAGAAUGACAACCGACCAAUUUUCUCCCAGAAAAUAUAUAAUAUUUCAAUUAGAAAUAUACCAAACAUUCAUUUGCCUGUUGCUGUUUUAUCUACAACAGAUCUUGAUCAAGGACAGAACAACAAAGUUACAUACUUCUUUAGUCCAAUGACUUCUGAUGUAGUGAAAAGUCAUUUUAGUUUGAAUAAGACUACAGGAGAGAUAUUUUUACAAAAACAUUACAACCUUGAUGAAAAACUUACAUAUAAAUUAUAUAUCGAAGCCAGAGAUGCAGGUAGCCCUCCUCUCAGUUCUAUGGCAACAGUUUUAGUAAAUGUUAUCAACCAACACAAUAAUCCUCCAACCAUUGAUAUAGAUUUUGUUUCAGCUCUAAGUGAUGACACAGCAACUAUCUCUGAAGAUAUCAAAGUUGGUAGUUUCAUUGCCUAUGUGAUGGUCACUGACAACGAUGUAGGACACAAUGGUCAGGUCAGCUGUGAUAUCAAACAUGAAAAAUUCAAGCUCUUAUCAAUGGGUUCUAAAGAGUAUAAAAUAGUAAUGAAAAGCCAAGUGGAUAGGGAGGCUGAGGACCACUAUGAUAUUACCUUGUCGUGUGAAGACAAAGGAUCCCCUUCUCGCAAAGUACAGAAAAGAUUUUUUCUACAAGUGAUGGAUGUUAAUGAUGUUCAACCACACUUUAUCUCAGAUUCUUUUAAAUUUCUGACAUUUGAAAAUGAGAAAGAUAAGUUCCCAGUAGGUUAUAUCAAUGCCACAGACCCAGAUCUAGGAUCUGGAGGUCAACUAACAUAUACUUUGUUUGGUUACAAUGGAGACUUCCUUCCCUUCCAAAUCACUGAUUCAGGAUUCAUAUCGACAUCCAUGUCACUUGACAGAGAAAAACAACAUAUUUAUGCGUUUAAAGUUUUAGUUAAAGAUAAAGGAAGACCAUCUCUGAAUAACACAGCAAAUAUCACCAUUGAAAUUUUAGAUGAAAAUGAUAAUGCCCCUUAUUUUACAUUUCCUAGUGUUAAUCCUUUUAGUCUUGAUGUCCACUAUCAUCCUCAAAGUAAUAACGACAUCACAGUUCUGAAAGCCUCUGACAGAGACAGCAGGGAAAAUGCUUUCUUGAGAUAUGAAAUUCUAAAAGGAAACAACAAUCGGUUAUUUGUAAUCAAUUCUUACACUGGCACUUUGUCUUUCUCUCGAAAAGUUUACCAAAAUGAUGCUGGAUCAUAUCAACUGCAGUUUAGGGUCAAAGACAGCGGUACUCCAGUUCUUUCAGCAUCAGUUACAAUAUCUUUGACCUUAACUGUUAGUAACAAGACAUCUCCAUCAUUAACUGCUGUUCAAAUACAAUCUGACAGUAUGAUUGAUGUAACGUGGGUAAUUAUAAUUGUAGUUUCAGCUGUGAUAAUAUCUGUGGCAAUUGUGAUUUCUAUAACGCUCUGUGUUGUCCGAUGCAAUAAUGGAAGAAAUGGCUCUGUGAGAGCUCGGGGAAACCCACCAUAUCAAUCUCGCACAGAAAUGAGACAGCUGAUCUAUCAAACUACUACUACCCCUAGCAGCAUGCACCCAGAAGAGAUGCUUAACAGAAAUAACCAGUCAAAUAGAUCUAGGAACCAAUUUCAGCCAGAAGAAGGACCACAAAUGGAAUGGAAAACAUCGACAAUUAUGAGAAGCCUCCCCAAAGUUUCUAAGAUUAUAAAAGGGGACUUCAACAACCUAAACAGGAAAACUCAGGAUUGAAACAACAUUUUUCUAACCAGGUAUAUUUAAUGGAGAGACAAAGAUUAACAUCCCCACAGUCCCAAGUUAUUAAUUUGAAUUCAACAGUUCCCACUUAACUAUAUCACCAGUUUCACAGCAAAAACAACUUCACAUGGAUAUUAGAAAAUAAUAUAAUUUUCACUAAAUGCAAAAGCAAUUUUAAACUGAAAAACCAUUGUUCAAUAACUGGAUAGAAUUGAAUGUUUGAAGAACUUGUUUGAACAUGCUAUGCAUUUUAUAUGAAAUGAACCUCAGCUUUGGAAAUUACACUUCUUCUAAAUGCUAUUUUUUCUGUUAAAUUUCUAUUUCUCAAAUAUUUAUAGAAAUGAAGUACAAAAACAAAAUCUAAAAACAAUUCUGUUUCUCUCCUGAAAGAAGACACGGAAACUGUUCGGCUUACAACUUAUUGAUAGACUAUUUCAGCCUGGAGCUAAAUGAAUUCUGGCUCUUUCUGAUAUUCCAUUGAGGUGCUUCAGUUAAAACAUAAAGUUUAAAAAGAAGAUUUUUGCACAUCGUGACAUCACACUGGAAACAACAAAUGAAAUUUAACAUUUAUGAAAAAACAAGAAGGUAUAUAUAUAUAAA
Molecule: unclassified non-coding RNA, 4290 nt
Filed under: Octopus sinensis (East Asian common octopus)
Lineage: Eukaryota; Metazoa; Mollusca; Cephalopoda; Octopoda; Octopodidae
Description: protocadherin-18-like, transcript variant X2
Source: RNAcentral